This 29-nucleotide non-coding RNA is filed under the name Rattus norvegicus (Norway rat). Lineage: Eukaryota; Metazoa; Chordata; Mammalia; Rodentia; Muridae. The record is from RNAcentral.
UCUUUCUCAGGAGAACAUUUGUAAGCUGC